This 2899-nucleotide ribosomal RNA is filed under the name Escherichia coli. RNAcentral describes it as "23S ribosomal RNA". It matches the Rfam family "Bacterial large subunit ribosomal RNA". The record is from RNAcentral. Lineage: Bacteria; Pseudomonadati; Pseudomonadota; Gammaproteobacteria; Enterobacterales; Enterobacteriaceae.
UUAAGCGACUAAGCGUACACGGUGGAUGCCCUGGCAGUCAGAGGCGAUGAAGGACGUGCUAAUCUGCGAUAAGCGUCGGUAAGGUGAUAUGAACCGUUAUAACCGGCGAUUUCCGAAUGGGGAAACCCAGUGUGAUUCGUCACACUAUCAUUAACUGAAUCCAUAGGUUAAUGAGGCGAACCGGGGGAACUGAAACAUCUAAGUACCCCGAGGAAAAGAAAUCAACCGAGAUUCCCCCAGUAGCGGCGAGCGAACGGGGAGCAGCCCAGAGCCUGAAUCAGUGUGUGUUAGUGGAAGCGUCUGGAAAGGCGCGCGAUACAGGGUGACAGCCCCGUACACAAAAAUGCACAUACUGUGAGCUCGAUGAGUAGGGCGGGACACGUGGUAUCCUGUCUGAAUAUGGGGGGACCAUCCUCCAAGGCUAAAUACUCCUGACUGACCGAUAGUGAACCAGUACCGUGAGGGAAAGGCGAAAAGAACCCCGGCGAGGGGAGUGAAAAAGAACCUGAAACCGUGUACGUACAAGCAGUGGGAGCCUCUUUAUGGGGUGACUGCGUACCUUUUGUAUAAUGGGUCAGCGACUUAUAUUCUGUAGCAAGGUUAACCGAAUAGGGGAGCCGAAGGGAAACCGAGUCUUAACUGGGCGUUAAGUUGCAGGGUAUAGACCCGAAACCCGGUGAUCUAGCCAUGGGCAGGUUGAAGGUUGGGUAACACUAACUGGAGGACCGAACCGACUAAUGUUGAAAAAUUAGCGGAUGACUUGUGGCUGGGGGUGAAAGGCCAAUCAAACCGGGAGAUAGCUGGUUCUCCCCGAAAGCUAUUUAGGUAGCGCCUCGUGAAUUCAUCUCCGGGGGUAGAGCACUGUUUCGGCAAGGGGGUCAUCCCGACUUACCAACCCGAUGCAAACUGCGAAUACCGGAGAAUGUUAUCACGGGAGACACACGGCGGGUGCUAACGUCCGUCGUGAAGAGGGAAACAACCCAGACCGCCAGCUAAGGUCCCAAAGUCAUGGUUAAGUGGGAAACGAUGUGGGAAGGCCCAGACAGCCAGGAUGUUGGCUUAGAAGCAGCCAUCAUUUAAAGAAAGCGUAAUAGCUCACUGGUCGAGUCGGCCUGCGCGGAAGAUGUAACGGGGCUAAACCAUGCACCGAAGCUGCGGCAGCGACACUAUGUGUUGUUGGGUAGGGGAGCGUUCUGUAAGCCUGUGAAGGUGUGCUGUGAAGUAUGCUGGAGGUAUCAGAAGUGCGAAUGCUGACAUAAGUAACGAUAAAGCGGGUGAAAAGCCCGCUCGCCGGAAGACCAAGGGUUCCUGUCCAACGUUAAUCGGGGCAGGGUGAGUCGACCCCUAAGGCGAGGCCGAAAGGCGUAGUCGAUGGGAAACAGGUUAAUAUUCCUGUACUUGGUGUUACUGCGAAGGGGGGACGGAGAAGGCUAUGUUGGCCGGGCGACGGUUGUCCCGGUUUAAGCGUGUAGGCUGGUUUUCCAGGCAAAUCCGGAAAAUCAAGGCUGAGGCGUGAUGACGAGGCACUACGGUGCUGAAGUAACAAAUGCCCUGCUUCCAGGAAAAGCCUCUAAGCAUCAGGUAACAUCAAAUCGUACCCCAAACCGACACAGGUGGUCAGGUAGAGAAUACCAAGGCGCUUGAGAGAACUCGGGUGAAGGAACUAGGCAAAAUGGUGCCGUAACUUCGGGAGAAGGCACGCUGAUAUGUAGGUGAAGUCCCUUGCGGAUGGAGCUGAAAUCAGUCGAAGAUACCAGCUGGCUGCAACUGUUUAUUAAAAACACAGCACUGUGCAAACACGAAAGUGGACGUAUACGGUGUGACGCCUGCCCGGUGCCGGAAGGUUAAUUGAUGGGGUUAGCGGUAACGCGAAGCUCUUGAUCGAAGCCCCGGUAAACGGCGGCCGUAACUAUAACGGUCCUAAGGUAGCGAAAUUCCUUGUCGGGUAAGUUCCGACCUGCACGAAUGGCGUAAUGAUGGCCAGGCUGUCUCCACCCGAGACUCAGUGAAAUUGAACUCGCUGUGAAGAUGCAGUGUACCCGCGGCAAGACGGAAAGACCCCGUGAACCUUUACUAUAGCUUGACACUGAACAUUGAGCCUUGAUGUGUAGGAUAGGUGGGAGGCUUUGAAGUGUGGACGCCAGUCUGCAUGGAGCCGACCUUGAAAUACCACCCUUUAAUGUUUGAUGUUCUAACGUUGGCCCCUGAUCGGGGUUGCGGACAGUGUCUGGUGGGUAGUUUGACUGGGGCGGUCUCCUCCUAAAGAGUAACGGAGGAGCACGAAGGUUGGCUAAUCCUGGUCGGACAUCAGGAGGUUAGUGCAAUGGCAUAAGCCAGCUUGACUGCGAGCGUGACGGCGCGAGCAGGUGCGAAAGCAGGUCAUAGUGAUCCGGUGGUUCUGAAUGGAAGGGCCAUCGCUCAACGGAUAAAAGGUACUCCGGGGAUAACAGGCUGAUACCGCCCAAGAGUUCAUAUCGACGGCGGUGUUUGGCACCUCGAUGUCGGCUCAUCACAUCCUGGGGCUGAAGUAGGUCCCAAGGGUAUGGCUGUUCGCCAUUUAAAGUGGUACGCGAGCUGGGUUUAGAACGUCGUGAGACAGUUCGGUCCCUAUCUGCCGUGGGCGCUGGAGAACUGAGGGGGGCUGCUCCUAGUACGAGAGGACCGGAGUGGACGCAUCACUGGUGUUCGGGUUGUCAUGCCAAUGGCACUGCCCGGUAGCUAAAUGCGGAAGAGAUAAGUGCUGAAAGCAUCUAAGCACGAAACUUGCCCCGAGAUGAGUUCUCCCUGACCCUUUAAGGGUCCUGAAGGAACGUUGAAGACGACGACGUUGAUAGGCCGGGUGUGUAAGCGCAGCGAUGCGUUGAGCUAACCGGUACUAAUGAACCGUGAGGCUUAACCU